UGGGGAAUAUUGGACAAUGGGGGCAACCCUGAUCCAGCAAUGCCGCGUGUGUGCAGAAGGCCUUCGGGUUGUAAAGCACUUUUAUCAGGAGCGAAAUACUACGGGUUAAUAACCUGUGGGGCUGACGGUACCUGAGGAAUAAGCACAGGCUAACUUCGUGCAAGCAGCCGCGGUAAUACGAAGGGUGCAAGCGUUAAUCGGAAUUACUGGGCGUAAAGCGUGCGUAGGCGGUUUGUUAAGUCUGCUGUGAAAUCCCCGGGCUCAACCUGGGAAUGGCAGUGGAUACUGGCAAGCUAGAGUGUGUCAGAGGGUGGUGGAAUUCCCGGUGUAGCGGUGAAAUGCGUAGAGAUCGGGAGGAACAUCAGUGGCGAAGGCGGCCACCUGGGACAACACUGACGCUGAGGCACGAAAGCGUGGGGAGCAAAC
This 426-nucleotide ribosomal RNA is filed under the name uncultured bacterium. Its description in RNAcentral is "bacterial SSU rRNA". It matches the Rfam family "Bacterial small subunit ribosomal RNA", at positions 355 to 773 of the family's 1533-position model. The record is from RNAcentral.